GAGCUCUGCUGGGCCUUGCAAAAUCGGGCGAAGGUCUCCGAGGGUCGGGCCCCGGGCAGCGGGGUGAACCCUGCCGUCCGGGCCAGCUCCCCGACCCGGCUGGAGAAGUCCCGCAGUUGCUCCUGCCGCAGAUCCACCAGGGUCAUCUCCGGGGCUUGGUGCCUGUACAGUGAACUCACUGCUCCUGUGGGGCAUGUUGGACCCACUAAGUAGCUCACUUGGAUAAGGCGCUGCUUUGCCGUGCUGUUCGAGCCCAGCCCCCACUGCACUGAAGAAGCUGUGAUCUCUCUGCUUCUUUAUGUAAAAAAAAAAAUGAAUAUAUUUAAAAUUACUAUUGAAAUUAUAAAAAUAGGA
This is a long non-coding RNA of Erinaceus europaeus (western European hedgehog), 354 nucleotides long. RefSeq lists it as uncharacterized. The transcript has 2 exons. Lineage: Eukaryota; Metazoa; Chordata; Mammalia; Eulipotyphla; Erinaceidae. The record is from RefSeq and is a predicted model, not a curated record.